AUUGAACGCUGGCGGCAUGCCUUACACAUGCAAGUCGAACGGCAGCGCGGGAGCAAUCCUGGCGGCGAGUGGCGAACGGGUGAGUAAUACAUCGGAACGUGCCCAAUCGUGGGGGAUAACGCAGCGAAAGCUGUGCUAAUACCGCAUACGAUCUACGGAUGAAAGCAGGGGAUCGCAAGACCUUGCGCGAAUGGAGCGGCCGAUGGCAGAUUAGGUAGUUGGUGAGGUAAAGGCUCACCAAGCCUUCGAUCUGUAGCUGGUCUGAGAGGACGACCAGCCACACUGGGACUGAGACACGGCCCAGACUCCUACGGGAGGCAGCAGUGGGGAAUUUUGGUACAAUGGGCGAAAGCCUGAUCCAGCCAUGCCGCGUGCAGGAUGAAGG
Molecule: ribosomal RNA, 385 nt
Filed under: uncultured bacterium
Lineage: Bacteria
Description: bacterial SSU rRNA
Rfam family: Bacterial small subunit ribosomal RNA
Source: RNAcentral